GAUGAGAGUAACUGUUCAUCCCUUGACGGUAUCUAACCAAAAAGCCACGGCUAACUACGUGCCACCACCCGCGGUAAUACGUAGGUGGCAAGCGUUGUCCGGAUUUAUUGGGCGUAAAGCGAGCGCAGGCGGUUUCUUAAGUCUGAUGUGAAAGCCCCCGGCUCAACCGGGGAGGGUCAUUGGAAACUGGGAGACUUGAGUGC
Molecule: ribosomal RNA, 203 nt
Filed under: Enterococcus faecium
Lineage: Bacteria; Bacillati; Bacillota; Bacilli; Lactobacillales; Enterococcaceae
Description: partial 16S ribosomal RNA
Rfam family: Bacterial small subunit ribosomal RNA
Source: RNAcentral